Molecule: long non-coding RNA, 546 nt
Organism: Acanthopagrus latus (yellowfin seabream)
Lineage: Eukaryota; Metazoa; Chordata; Actinopteri; Spariformes; Sparidae
Exons: 2
Source: RefSeq, a predicted model, not a curated record
CAUUUGGCAAGGCUCAGAUGCACUCAGCAGUAACUCUGGCUAUAGUGCAGCAGUGUUCCACCACCCGCCGUCCCAGGGGCUACCUCGGUGCGAAAGAUUACCUCAGCUGGCUGGGUAGCAGUUUGAUCCUCGACUCUCUGAUAUGAGCUUUGGGUUAUCGCCGGUGGCACCGCUCACCGGGAAUGUUAUAGUGCCAAAAUGCCUUCAUGAAGAUCCAACGCAUCUUCUUUUCAAGCCAUGUAUAGGCCUGAUGUAAGGUCAACCGGUACCCGUGUCUAUGAUCUACAGUAGAUAAAUCUACAAUCUACAAGGUGUCCAGUGUGCUUCAAGAGAAACAGGCCACUUGCAGCAAACAGUGGUCCAUUCAUUGACUGUGAUUCUGUCAGUCCCUGACAAGUAUAAAUAUAUCCAAGGUGUUAGCUGAAAAACGCUGGUUUUAACACCUGCAAGUGUUUUAAAUUCACUGUUAAAGGUUUGACAGGUGGAAUGUGAACCCAGUCUGCAUCAGACUGACUUUGUUAGAAUUAAUUAAAGAGAAUAAAUCCA